AACGAACGCUGGCGGCAGGCCUAACACAUGCAAGUCGAACGCCCCGCAAGGGGAGUGGCAGACGGGUGAGUAACACGUGGGAACGUACCCUUCGGUUCGGGAUAACUCAGGGAAACUUGAGCUAAUACCGGAUACGUCCGAGAGGAGAAAGAUUUAUCGCCGAGGGAUCGGCCCGCGUCUGAUUAGCUUGUUGGUGAGGUAACGGCUCACCAAGGCGACGAUCAGUAGCUGGUCUGAGAGGAUGAUCAGCCACAUUGGGACUGAGACACGGCCCAAACUCCUACGGGAGGCAGCAGUGGGGAAUAUUGGACAAUAGGGCGGCAAGCCUGAUCCAGCCAUGCCGCGUGAGUGAUGAAGGCCC
Molecule: ribosomal RNA, 361 nt
Filed under: uncultured bacterium
Lineage: Bacteria
Description: bacterial SSU rRNA
Rfam family: Bacterial small subunit ribosomal RNA
Source: RNAcentral